AAUAGACCCUUAUUGAUUUACUUUUGUUGUGACACAGGACCCGAGAUUGUCGAGCAUCGUUCCACUCAAGUCGGCCCGCACACUUGAGUUCUGAAUUGAGGUAAAGGGAAGGCAAAGGUUGAGCAGCCAUGUGUUCGACGUCGUAGCAGCAAUGUACAUAUCAACCGCAGUGGCACGACCCAGUGAAUAGAAUGCUCUAUUUUGAAUGUAUUUUGGGAAUGCAAAGUUUAUGUUGUAAAAAAAACACUAUUAAACCAGUUUGUAAAUAUUUUAAAAACAGGGGGACCCCGUAGUUAAUAUUACUUAUCUUUUAUCAUAAAGCAGUUUUUA
Long non-coding RNA from Cannabis sativa, 330 nucleotides. RefSeq lists it as uncharacterized. The transcript has 2 exons. The record is from RefSeq and is a predicted model, not a curated record. Lineage: Eukaryota; Viridiplantae; Streptophyta; Magnoliopsida; Rosales; Cannabaceae.